AUGGAGCUUUACAUUCUAACACUACUAGCUAGGCAAUCAUGGAGAAUUGUGCAAAAUACUGAGUCUAGUAGUUUCGGAAUUUCGAAGCGCCAAUACUACCCCAAUGGUAAACUUGAGGAUACAGUUUUCUCAGGAAAUGCUUCUUCAACUUGGACUGCAAUCAGCCAUGGCCUAGAUCUACUUAAGAAAGGACUAAUAUGGAGAGUAGGGAAUGGGAACAAUAUCAGAAUUUGGAGGGACCCUUGGAUCCCUAGACCUUUCUCCUAUAGACCUAUAUCAAUCCAAGGGACUUGCAGAUAUAGACAUGUGUCACAACUGCUACAUCGCGAUGGUGCUUGGAAUUAUAGUUUACUUCAAGAAGCAUUUUUGCCAUGUGAUGUACAGGAAAUCUUGAAAAUAAGAGCGUCACCUCGGCUCGAGGAGGACGUGCUGGCUUGGGGCCCGACGAAAACUGGAGUAUUUUCAGUGAAAUCGGCAUAUGAAUUAGACUUUGAGGAAACGUACAGAAGCUCUGCGGAAUCGUCAAGCGCUGCUCCGGAUGGCCGUCGGGCUUGUUGGAAGCUUAUCUGGAAAAGCAUUGUGCCACCUACGGUCAAAAACUUUGCAUGGCGUGUUGCGGUGAACUCCCUCCCAACGUGGCAAAACAAAAACAAGCGCAACUUAGAAACGUCUGGAAUUUGCCCAAUUUGCGAGAGGGAAGAGGAAGACACCUUUCAUGCUCUUUGUAAGUGUCCGCUGGCAGUUCAGUUGUGGGAAUGCAUGGCAACCGUUUGGAGGCUACCAAAACGGGAGGAACUUAAGAACACAGGCAUUGAAUGGCUGCUGGAAGUGCUUCAUCCACUUUCAGAGAUAGAGAGGGGCAUGCUGCUGAUGUGUUUGUGGCGGGUGUGGCACAAUCGAAAUGAGAUAACACACAACAAAGAACCACCUCCGAUGGAGGCAUCGAAACGGUUUUUGAUGGGAUACUUGGACUCCUUAAUUUCGCUAAAGUAUUCAGAUGAUGAACUCCUAAAAGGUAAACAGGUUGUUGCAUAUUGUUUGCCUGAACCGCGAGUGAGACCAUCUGUUGCUAGCAACAUCGCAUGGGUUUUACCUAUGGAGGGGUGGUCAAAGCUCAACAUUGAUGGCUCUUGGUCUAUAGAUGGGAAGGCAGGAGCUGGUAUGGUCCUCCGAGAUAGCCAGGGAAAGAUCAUAUAUACAUCAUGCAGGGAGCUUUUUUCUUGCAGGAAUGCUCUGGAGGCGGAACUAGGUGCAUGUAUGGAGGGUCUCUCAAUAGCAAUUCAGAGAACGGAGCUACCUAUUCAGGUAGAGAUGGACUCACGGGAGGCCUUGAACAUAAUCACAAAUGAUUCGACUGAUAGAUCAAUUUUUUCAUCAUUGGUAAAUGAAAUCAAGUACCUGAGGAGUCUUCGGGAAACUACAUUUAGUUUUGUUCAUCGUAGUCAAAAUAAUGUUAGUGAUUUUUUGGCAAAUUUUGCUAGAUCCAAGAGUAGAACAAUAGUGUGGCUUAACUCUGGUUUAUCAGAGGUCCUUGAACUUUGUAAUGGAGACUGUGGACUUACCACUUGA
Molecule: ribosomal RNA, 1569 nt
Filed under: Triticum aestivum (bread wheat)
Lineage: Eukaryota; Viridiplantae; Streptophyta; Magnoliopsida; Poales; Poaceae
Description: partial small subunit ribosomal RNA
Source: RNAcentral